RNAcentral lists this ribosomal RNA (858 nucleotides) under uncultured Achromobacter sp. RNAcentral describes it as "bacterial SSU rRNA". It matches the Rfam family "Bacterial small subunit ribosomal RNA", at positions 42 to 873 of the family's 1533-position model. Lineage: Bacteria; Pseudomonadati; Pseudomonadota; Betaproteobacteria; Burkholderiales; Alcaligenaceae. The record is from RNAcentral.
CUCGGCAGUCUACCUGCAGUCGACGGCAGCACGGACUUCGGUCUGGUGGCGAGUGGCGAACGGGUGAGUAAUGUAUCGGAACGUGCCCAGUAGCGGGGGAUAACUACGCGAAAGCGUAGCUAAUACCGCAUACGCCCUACGGGGGAAAGCAGGGGAUCGCAAGACCUUGCACUAUUGGAGCGGCCGAUAUCGGAUUAUCUAGUUGGUGGGGUAACGGCUCACCAAGGCGACGAUCCGUAUCUGGUUUGAGAGGACGACCAGCCACACUGGGACUGAGACACGGCCCAGACUCCUACGGGAGGCAGCAGUGGGGAAUUUUGGACAAUGGGGGAAACCCUGAUCCAGCCAUCCCGCGUGUGCGAUGAAGGCCUUCGGGUUGUAAAGCACUUUUGGCAGGAAAGAAACGUCGCGGGUUAAUACCCCGCGAAACUGACGGUACCUGCAGAAUAAGCACCGGCUAACUACGUGCCAGCAGCCGCGGUAAUACGUAGGGUGCAAGCGUUAAUCGGAAUUACUGGGCGUAAAGCGUGCGCAGGCGGUUCGGAAAGAAAGAUGUGAAAUCCCAGAGCUUAACUUUGGAACUGCAUUUUUAACUACCGGGCUAGAGUGUGUCAUAGGGAGGUGGAAUUCCGCGUGUAGCAGUGAAAUGCGUAGAUAUGCGGAGGAACACCGAUGGCGAACGCAGCCUCCUGGGGAUAACACUGACGCUCAUGCACGAAAGCGUGGGGUAGCAAACAGGGAUUAGAUACCCCUGGAUAGUCCACGCCCUACACGAUGUCAACUAGCUGAUGGGGGCGUCGGGUCUUGGCUAGCGCAGGCUAACGACGCUGAAAGCCUGACCGGCCCUGGGGGAGGUAG